RNAcentral lists this unclassified non-coding RNA (1142 nucleotides) under Hevea brasiliensis (rubber tree). The record is from RNAcentral. Lineage: Eukaryota; Viridiplantae; Streptophyta; Magnoliopsida; Malpighiales; Euphorbiaceae.
AAAAAAUGAUAUCAAAUGAGAUUUAUGAUAUUAAAUAAGGAUAGUACAAUAAAAUACUUGGUCAAACUAGCUUACAAGCUCAACCUAUAAGCUCAAAAAUUAUUCUAAGUAAGUAGGUCAAGCUAUUUUUAAAGUUGGUUUGCUCAGCUUAUAUGCUAAGACAAAUUACAAAUCCUGUAUUUGUAUUGAAACUUUGUCUUUGAUUUCUUAAAUGUCUAAAGCUCAAUGAAUCUUGGAGAAUUCAAUUGAUACUUUGUUGUCCACAAAAUAUUAUAGAAACUGAAGUCUACUAUUAUGAAAUGUUUAAUGUUAGUUUUGAUUUUAUUUUGCUACUCUCAAAGUUAUAAUAUAAUGGUUUGGAGUCUUGUUUUGAUGAUUCAUGAUCUUGAAAAUUUGCGAUAGGUCAUGGAUCCUACACCCUUACUAUGCUAUAUUAAAUAUAUAAGUUGGUGUUGGUAUUGACCCUUGCUUGUUAAAUUUUGACCUUUAGUAACAAGCCAUAACUUGAUUUCCUCGUUUUGUAUCUUAAUAACCUUCUACUUUCACCAAUAUCUGAGAGUAGCCUCUGAAUUGAUAUAUUCUUGACAUUCUGCAUUGCAUUGUAAGCAUAGGUAGAUGUCAUAGGUUAUUUGUAUUUGCUAUAUACCUUAUAAAAAAUCCUUCUCUGUGCUUUAUUUCACCUUGUUUCUUUAUUCCAAUCCUUCUACUUCCUUUUUUUUUUCUCUUCAAAUACUUAAAUCAUCUUCUUUUCCCAAUUAUUUUCUAUUAGAGCACUUCCUUCUCAAAAUUAAUGUGUAACUGAUAUCUCUUUAUCUCCAUCUUAUACCAAAGCAUAUUUGUUUGGGAGUUCCCAUAAAUCUUUUCUUCUUUGAAAAAAUUGUAGAUUUGCUAGAUACAAGUGAUGUGUGACUAAUGCGAAUUUCCAUAUUCCCAUAGAUUUUAAGUUCUACUUCACUCAUAAAUGGGUAUUUUAUGUUCAAUGUCAUCAAAGAUGUUUUGAUUGGUACAUUUUACAUUAUUCACAUUGUAUCAAGCACAUUGGCAUGAAUUUAGUAUUUUUGGUUGUUACAUCAUUAACCUCUGAAGACAUUCUGAAUUGCUGAUGUGCCCUUGUUUGCAGUGUUGUUUGGCUUGCUUAAGAA